RNAcentral lists this ribosomal RNA (425 nucleotides) under uncultured bacterium. Its description in RNAcentral is "bacterial SSU rRNA". It matches the Rfam family "Bacterial small subunit ribosomal RNA", at positions 917 to 1341 of the family's 1533-position model. The record is from RNAcentral.
GGGCCCGCACAAGCGGUGGAGCAUGUGGUUUAAUUCGAUGCAACGCGAAGAACCUUACCUGGUCUUGACAUACACAGAAUCUUGUAGAGAUACGAGAGUGCCUUCGGGAAUUGUGAUACAGGUGCUGCAUGGCUGUCGUCAGCUCGUGUCGUGAGAUGUUGGGUUAAGUCCCGCAACGAGCGCAACCCUUGUCCUUAGUUACCAGCGGGUUAAGCCGGGAACUCUAAGGAUACUGCCAGUGACAAACUGGAGGAAGGCGGGGACGACGUCAAGUCAUCAUGGCCCUUACGACCAGGGCUACACACGUGCUACAAUGGUAGGUACAGAGGGCAGCUACACAGCGAUGUGAUGCGAAUCUCAAAAAGCCUAUCGUAGUCCAGAUUGGAGUCUGCAACUCGACUCCAUGAAGUAGGAAUCGCUAGUAA